CUUAUACUUCCUCCGUCCCAAAAUUCUUGUCUUAAAUUUGCCUAGAUACGGAUGUAUCUAAUACUAAAACGUGACUUGAUACAUCCAUAUUUAGACAAAUCUAAGACAAGAAUUUUGGGACGGAGGGAGUACAUG
Triticum aestivum (bread wheat) is the source of this 135-nucleotide non-coding RNA. The record is from Rfam. NCBI's taxonomy places the organism in Eukaryota, Viridiplantae, Streptophyta, Magnoliopsida, Poales, Poaceae.